Molecule: small nuclear RNA, 110 nt
Filed under: Corchorus olitorius
Lineage: Eukaryota; Viridiplantae; Streptophyta; Magnoliopsida; Malvales; Malvaceae
Source: RNAcentral
CAGGAAAUAACAUGAUCUGAUAAAAUUGGAAAGAUACAGAAAAGAUUAGCAUGGCCCCUGCGCAAGAUGACACGCACAAAUCGAGAAGUGAUCUUUCAGUCAAUGUUUUU